RNAcentral lists this ribosomal RNA (995 nucleotides) under Triticum aestivum (bread wheat). RNAcentral's name for it is "partial small subunit ribosomal RNA". Lineage: Eukaryota; Viridiplantae; Streptophyta; Magnoliopsida; Poales; Poaceae. The record is from RNAcentral.
UAGAGGUGUGGGUGAGAAGUCAAAAGUGACAAACCUUGUGUGUUAUGUGUAAGGCGGAAUCGUCGCGUUACCGCUGGUGGUGGUACAGGGAGAGGAGCUGGAAGCGGCCGUUCAGCCACUUCUUGCACCGAAGUAGUCGAGAGAAACCACUCCGGGCACAGUGAUACGCGUUCUGGCGACGUUUCCGGUUCGUCCAAAGUAGUCCGUCGGGUACCAUGCCACGGCUGGCACACGAGAUGGAGCCGGGCGAAAGGCCGCUGGGAGGCUCGAUGAACUGGCCGCUCAAGGGGCCGCUGAUGCCCACCCUGUGGCGCCCCGAGAGCCGGCUGGGGCUCUGGAAACGGUUCUUGGCCCUCGAGCUCCACUAGGUGACGGCCACCCGGUACGAGCCACGCGAGCCUACGCAGAAGGGGCUCGAAGAACGUGCGUUACCACAAUUCAAGCCACUCCGGCACACCAAGUUCCGGCCGAGGGUUUAGAAGUCGCUCCCACCGGAGCUGAUGGACCCGUUGGGGUCGGAGCACGUACGUGUCUCGUAGGAACGAUAAACCCGUACGGUUCAGCACGAGUACCCACGGCAACUCCCCAUGGCGCAACGGCCCCCGGGUGAACCACUCUAUCAGCUGGGUGAGAUGGGACCACCGUCGAAGCUGGGCAACCCGGACCGACUACUGGGGCUCCGUAAACGUCUCGAGUUCCACUUCCUUCAGUUCUUGCCGGCGGAGCGGUACAAGAGAUACAAACCGAAGAAGCACGUCCGGUAACAGUGGCCAUUCCCGGGUGAGCUCUUGGAACGACUGGUGGAGAGGCUGGGGCAGUUGUUGUUGCGUACCCGCAAACGGUGUUUGAAACAAGGGCCGUUCACUCCGCAACCGCGAGCGAUCGACGCUCAACAUGGGUAGUUCCUUUGACGCCACUUGACGUGUGUAUUAUACACCAAGUUUAACAUUGUAGUACCACAUUUAAUGUUCCUAGCAACCCCUUUACCAAACUAG